RNAcentral lists this ribosomal RNA (494 nucleotides) under uncultured bacterium. Its description in RNAcentral is "partial 16S ribosomal RNA". It matches the Rfam family "Bacterial small subunit ribosomal RNA", at positions 28 to 507 of the family's 1533-position model. The record is from RNAcentral.
GACGAACGCUGGCGGCGUGCUUAACACACGCAAGUCGAACGGUGAAGCGCCUUCCUUUUUGGUGGGUGUGGAUGAGUGGCGAACGGGUGAGUAACACGUGAGUAACCUGCCCCCUUCUUCUGGAUAACCGCAUGAAAGUGUGGCUAAUACGGGAUAUUCUGGGUCUGUCGCAUGAUGGGUCUGGGAAAGAUAUUGUUUCGGUGGGGGAUGGGCUCGCGGCCUAUCAGCUUGUUGGUGGGGUGAUGGCCUACCAAGGCGGUGACGGGUAGCCGGCCUGAGAGGGUGGACGGUCACACUGGGACUGAGACACGGCCCAGACUCCUACGGGAGGCAGCAGUGGGGAAUAUUGCACAAUGGGCGCAAGCCUGAUGCAGCGACGCCGCGUGAGGGAUGGAGGCCUUCGGGUUGUGAACCUCUUUCGCCAGUGAAGCAGGCCUGCCUCGUUUGUGGGUGGGUUGACGGUAGCUGGAUAAGAAGCGCCGGCUAACUACGUG